UACGUAGGGUGCAAGCGUUGUCCGGAAUUAUUGGGCGUAAAGAGCUCGUAGGCGGUUUGUUGCGUCGGCUGUGAAAUCCCGAGGCUCAACCUCGGGUCUGCAGUCGAUACGAGCAAACUAGAGUGUUGCAGGGGAGACUGGAAUUCCUGGUGUAGCGGUGAAAUGCGCAGAUAUCAGGAGGAACACCAGUGGCGAAGGCGGCUCUCUGGACCGGUUCUGACGCUCAGGCGCGAAAGCGUGGGGAGCGAUCCGG
This 253-nucleotide ribosomal RNA is filed under the name uncultured bacterium. RNAcentral describes it as "partial 16S ribosomal RNA". It matches the Rfam family "Bacterial small subunit ribosomal RNA", at positions 524 to 776 of the family's 1533-position model. The record is from RNAcentral.